UGGGGGAUAUUGCACAAUGGGCGAAAGCCUGAUGCAGCGACGCCGCGUGGGGGAUGAAGGCUUUCGGGUUGUAAACCUCUUUCGCUAUCGAACAAGGCCCGCUUAGGGUGGGUUGAGGGUAGGUGGAGAAGAAGCGCCGGCUAACUACGUGCCAGCGGCCGCGGUAAUACGUAGGGCGCGAGCGUUGUCCGGAAUUAUUGGGCGUAAAGGGCUUGUAGGCGGCUUGUUGCGCCUGCUGUGAAAACGCGGGGCUUAACUUCGCGCGUGCAGUGGGUACGGGCAGGCUUGAGUGUGGUAGGGGUGACUGGAAUUCCAGGUGUAGCGGUGGAAUGCGCAGAUAUCUGGAGGAACACCGAUGGCGAAGGCAGGUCACUGGGCCAUUACUGACGCUGAGGAGCGAAAGCAUGGGUAGCGAACAGG
This 420-nucleotide ribosomal RNA is filed under the name bacterium. Its description in RNAcentral is "partial 16S ribosomal RNA". It matches the Rfam family "Bacterial small subunit ribosomal RNA", at positions 355 to 776 of the family's 1533-position model. The record is from RNAcentral.